This 548-nucleotide long non-coding RNA is filed under the name Setaria viridis. RNAcentral's name for it is "long non-coding RNA (SVIR_LNC004090)". Lineage: Eukaryota; Viridiplantae; Streptophyta; Magnoliopsida; Poales; Poaceae. The record is from RNAcentral.
AGAUUUUCAAGAGGUUAGUGGUAAUAGUAUAUGAACUUGAAGGACGGGGUUAGGGGUACGGUGUGUGCAAUGAGAUCGGCCUUAAUUUCAAUGUUCCCUGCCUCUGACCUCAAACCCUGCUGAUGGGGAUCUGGCUGUGCAAAGGCAAACAGUACUCAACAUGUUGAGGAAUUUCAGUGACUCGGCGGUUUGUCAGUUAGCACAUACUAUAAGAAGCUGCAAACUGUUGCUUUCGUUAGACCACCUAGCAUUAGGCAUCGAUCUUUUCGGGGUUUGUACGCUUGCCGCUCUGCUCUACGCGCCACGGACAGCCGCGUGUUGUUUGUGAUGCUAGUUUAACUCCAAGUCACUGUCAGGGAUGGAGACCAGCAGCGUCUCAUACGUGUCUUUUCCUUUUGAGAAACAUACGCCUCAAAUUUUGUUGUGCAUAAGCAGGAUUGAAAUAAGGGUUGCAUGGAAGCGUAACAGUAAAAAUGUUCAGUGCGUUAUCGUUUUUUUUACCGAAGUCAGCGGAAGAAGCCCCUACCUAUAUUUUUUUAUAAUUUUUU